Molecule: ribosomal RNA, 483 nt
Filed under: uncultured bacterium
Lineage: Bacteria
Description: partial 16S ribosomal RNA
Rfam family: Bacterial small subunit ribosomal RNA
Source: RNAcentral
UUGAACGCUGGCGGCAGGCCUAACACAUGCAAGUCGAGCGGAUGAAGGGAGCUUGCUCCUGGAUUCAGCGGCGGACGGGUGAGUAAUGCCUAGGAAUCUGCCUGGUAGUGGGGGAUAACGUCCGGAAACGGGCGCUAAUACCGCAUACGUCCUGAGGGAGAAAGUGGGGGAUCUUCGGACCUCACGCUAUCAGAUGAGCCUAGGUCGGAUUAGCUAGUUGGUGGGGUAAAGGCCUACCAAGGCGACGAUCCGUAACUGGUCUGAGAGGAUGAUCAGUCACACUGGAACUGAGACACGGUCCAGACUCCUACGGGAGGCAGCAGUGGGGAAUAUUGGACAAUGGGCGAAAGCCUGAUCCAGCCAUGCCGCGUGAGUGAAGAAGGUCUUCGGAUUGUAAAGCACUUUAAGUUGGGAGGAAGGGCAGUAAGUUAAUACCUUGCUGUUUUGACGUUACCAACAGAAUAAGCACCGGCUAACCUCGUG